RNAcentral lists this long non-coding RNA (1257 nucleotides) under Oryctolagus cuniculus (rabbit). RNAcentral's name for it is "lncRNA (ENSOCUG00000031601.1)". Lineage: Eukaryota; Metazoa; Chordata; Mammalia; Lagomorpha; Leporidae. The record is from RNAcentral.
AUGCACCCUUGGCCUUCGUGGGAUCUCGCGAGGCUGCUUCUCGUUGCGCCCGUGGCUUCCCGGCAGGUCCUGUGUGCUUCUGCCGUGAUUGAGGGAGGAGGAGGAGGAAGGGCAGGAACCGAGAGCGUACAGGCCGUCUGCAGCGGAAGCCACCGAGCCAGUGCGUCACUUCCUGCCCAGACGCGUGACCCGGUGCCGGGCUUUUCUCGCCUCCCUCUGUGGUCCAAGGCGGGGAAGAGCCUGGGCCCCAGAUUCCCCAGAGCGAGAGGCGGAGCUGGGCCGUGGAAGCCACGCCUGGGCCUCCCCCGCCCCGUGCUGACCGGCUCACCGCGCUGGCAACGCGCAGGACCCGCCCAGAGCUCCUGCCGGCCCCACCGCGCCCAGUCACGGUGGGUGUUGUCCGUGUGUGUGUGCACACGUGUGUGCACGGUGUGUGAGGGCAGGUGGGCCGUUCCACUUCGAUGCACCAAACUCAAGUGCCUCAUUUCUGUGCCAAAUGUUUGCCUUGGUCUUUGCGGACCUCCUUCCCCGACACGCUGGCGAGGCCGUCCGAGUGCAGAGCCUCCGCAGGCCCUGGUGCCUUCGCAGCCGCAGCCGGCGUUUCCGGCUUGCCCUCUGCAGGCAUCCAGCCAAGGGGAGCCGAGGUCCGGACAGCCCCGGUGCCCCGUCCUGAGCUGGUUUGUGCCCACAUUUGUUGCAGAGGCUGCGGGCCAGGCCCCUUCCGCCUGCCGAGAGCGGAGAGGGCAAGUCCCAGAUCUGAGCAGGGCAGGUGUGGGGAAGGGGCCCGUGGGCGACCCCGCCAGUGGCGCCUCCGCUACGCCCUUGGGAGCGCGGGCUUCUACCCUGACGAGAGCUGUCAGUGUCCCCAUCAGACAGCUCCCCCUGCGGGGCAUGCGGGAGCUUCCAGGGUUUCUGGGGGCUGGUACGUGUGUGUCUCGUGUGUACCGCCCAGAACAAGGCAAGGCUGCUCGUCGGCUGCGCCGUGUUCUCAGGGACACAGGAGAGGGACGUCCCCCGGUGUUGGCCUCUGCAGCCCCUGAUGGGCCGAGCGUGGGGUCCUGGGGAGGACCUGCGGUGGAUUCGCAGGGCUCGUGCCCGACCCGCGGCGGCCAGGGGCCCAUGAACCCGCUCGCUACAGUGUGUGCGCCUCCAGUGCUGCGCUGUCCCGCGGUGAAGUCGCCCUGCGUGUAUCUCAGUGUCCGAGACCGCGUAGCGUCUCGUCCGCCUUACCUGCCCGCGCAUAUUUGUACUUUCUGA